AAAGUCGUAACAAGGUAACCGUAGGUGAACCUGCGGUUGGAUCAUUAAUAAAUUUGGAAGACCUUAAGGUCUCUCUAACAUUAUGUGAAUAGUUUAUAAAUUUUGUAGUCUUUAACAACCUACAAAUCGUAUACUUUGUAUUAUAUUUUUAGUCUUAAACUUUUAAUGAAAAAUUAAAAACAACUUUUGACAACGGAUCUCUAGGCUCUC
This 210-nucleotide unclassified non-coding RNA is filed under the name Chytridiomycota sp. Its description in RNAcentral is "partial contains small subunit ribosomal RNA, internal transcribed spacer 1, and 5.8S ribosomal RNA". The stretch from base 1 to 47 matches the Rfam family "Eukaryotic small subunit ribosomal RNA", at positions 1785 to 1831 of the family's 1831-position model. Lineage: Eukaryota; Fungi; Chytridiomycota. The record is from RNAcentral.